This 504-nucleotide ribosomal RNA is filed under the name uncultured organism. RNAcentral's name for it is "SSU rRNA". It matches the Rfam family "Bacterial small subunit ribosomal RNA", at positions 35 to 509 of the family's 1533-position model. The record is from RNAcentral.
GCUGGCGGCGUGCCUAAUACAUGCAAGUCGAGCGGUAACAGGGGGUCUCACCGUUUCCUUGACACACCUAGCGCUUUGGUCGUAGGUUGAUGACUUCGAGGGAACAGUGAGACUCUGCUGACGAGCGGCGGACGGCUGAGUAACGCGUGGGAACGGACCCCAAACUGAGGGAUAACUACUCGAAAGAGUGGCUAAUACCGCAUGUGGUCUUCGGAUUAAAGGAUUUAUCCGGUUUGGGACUGGCCUGCGUACGAUUAGAUAGUUGGUAGGGUAAUGGCCUACCAAGUCGACGAUCGUUAGAUGGUUUGAGAAGAUGAUCAUCCAGACUGGGACUGAGACACGGCCCAGACUCCUACGGGAGGCAGCAGUAGGGAAUCUUUCACAAUGGGCGAAAGCCUGAUGGAGCAACGCCGCGUGCAGGAUGACGGCCUUCGGGUUGUAAACUGCUUUAUAAGCGAGAAAUAUGAUGGUAACUUAUGAAUAAGGACCGGCUAACUACGUGCC